CGGCGAGUGAAAGCGGCAACAGCUCAAAUUUGAAAUCUGGCCCCCAGGGCCCGAGUUGUAAUUUGUAGAGGAUGCUUUUGGCGCGGUGCCUUCCGAGUUCCCUGGAACGGGACGCCAUAGAGGGUGAGAGCCCCGUCUGGUUGGACACCUAGCCUCUGUAAAGCUCCUUCGACGAGUCGAGUAGUUUGGGAAUGCUGCUCUAAAUGGGAGGUAUAUGUCUUCUAAAGCUAAAUACCGGCCAGAGACCGAUAGCGCACAAGUAGAGUGAUCGAAAGAUGAAAAGCACUUUGAAAAGAGGGUUAAAUAGUACGUGAAAUUGUUGAAAGGGAAGCGUUUGUGACCAGACUUGGGCCCGGUUGAUCAUCCACCGUUCUCGGUGGUGCGCUCUGCCGGCCCAGGCCAGCAUCAGUUCGCGCCGGGGGAUAAAGGCUUCGGGAAUGUGGCUCCUCCGGGAGUGUUAUAGCCCGUUGUGUAAUACCCUGGUGCGGACUGAGGUUCGCGCUCCGCAAGGAUGCUGGCGUAAUGGUCAUCAGCGACCCGUCUUGAAACACGGACCAAGGAGUCGUCUUCGUAUG
RNAcentral lists this ribosomal RNA (575 nucleotides) under Sordariomycetes sp. RNAcentral describes it as "partial large subunit ribosomal RNA". It matches the Rfam family "Eukaryotic large subunit ribosomal RNA", at positions 87 to 686 of the family's 3401-position model. The record is from RNAcentral. Lineage: Eukaryota; Fungi; Ascomycota; Sordariomycetes.